UAGGGAAUCUUCCGCAAUGGGCGAAAGCCUGACGGAGCAACGCCGCGUGAGUGAUGAAGGUCUUCGGAUCGUAAAACUCUGUUAUUAGGGAAGAACAUAUGUGUAAGUAACUGUGCACAUCUUGACGGUACCUAAUCAGAAAGCCACGGCUAACUACGUGCCAGCAGCCGCGGUAAUACGUAGGUGGCAAGCGUUAUCCGGAAUUAUUGGGCGUAAAGCGCGCGUAGGCGGUUUUUUAAGUCUGAUGUGAAAGCCCACGGCUCAACCGUGGAGGGUCAUUGGAAACUGGAAAACUUGAGUGCAAAAGAGGAAAGUGGAAUUCCAUGUGUAGCGGUGAAAUGCGCAGAGAUAUGGAGGAACACCAGUGGCGAAGGCGACUUUCUGGUCUGUAACUGACGCUGAUGUGCGAAAGCGUGGGGAUCAAACAGGAUUAGAUACCCUGGUAGUCCACGCCGUAAACGAUGAGUGCUAAGUGUUAGGGGGUUUCCGCCCCUUAGUGCUGCAGCUAACGCAUUAAGCACUCCGCCUGGGGAGUACGACCGCAAGGUUG
Molecule: ribosomal RNA, 550 nt
Filed under: uncultured bacterium
Lineage: Bacteria
Description: bacterial SSU rRNA
Rfam family: Bacterial small subunit ribosomal RNA
Source: RNAcentral